GGGCCGGUAGCUCAGCUUGGUAGAGAACUUGGCUUUUAACCAAGGGGUCGCGGGUUCAAAGGGAUGUUAGGGAUAACAUCACAGAAAAUCCUGCUCGGCCCA
RNAcentral lists this transfer RNA (102 nucleotides) under Candidatus Woesearchaeota archaeon. RNAcentral's name for it is "tRNA-Lys". It matches the Rfam family "tRNA". Rfam says of the family: Transfer RNA (tRNA) molecules are approximately 80 nucleotides in length. Lineage: Archaea; Nanobdellati; Candidatus Woesearchaeota. The record is from RNAcentral.